CCUACGGGGGGCAGCAGUGGGGAAUAUUGCACAAUGGGGGAAACCCUGAUGCAGCGACGCCGCGUGAGUGAAGAAGUAUCUCGGUACGUAAAGCUCUAUCAGCAGGGAAGAAAAUGCCGGUACCUGACUAAGAAGCCCCGGCUAACUACGUGCCAGCAGCCGGGGUAAUACGUAGGGGGCCAGCGUUAUCCGGAUUUACUGGGUGUUAAGGGAGCGUAGACGGCAGCACAAGUCUGGAGUGAAAUCCCGGGGCUUAAACCCGGAACUGCUUUGGAAACUGUGCGGCUGGAGUGCAGGAGGGGUAAGCGGAAUUCCUAGUGUAGCGGUGAAAUGCGUAGAUAUUAGGAGGAACACCGGUGGCGAAGGCGGCUUGCUGGACUGUAACUGACGUUGAGGCUCGAAGGCGUGGGGAGCAAACAGGAUUAGAUACCCUUGUAGUC
Molecule: ribosomal RNA, 440 nt
Filed under: uncultured bacterium
Lineage: Bacteria
Description: partial 16S ribosomal RNA
Rfam family: Bacterial small subunit ribosomal RNA
Source: RNAcentral